AGUGAACGCUGGCGGUAGGCCUAACACAUGCAAGUCGAGCGGCAGCACAGUAAGAGCUUGCUCUUACGGGUGGCGAGUGGCGGACGGGUGAGGAAUACAUCGGAAUCUACUUUUUCGUGGGGGAUAACGUAGGGAAACUUACGCUAAUACCGCAUACGACCUACGGGUGAAAGCAGGGGAUCUUCGGACCUUGCGCGAUUGAAUGAGCCGAUGUCGGAUUAGCUAGUUGGCGGGGUAAAGGCCCACCAAGGCGACGAUCCGUAGCUGGUCUGAGAGGAUGAUCAGCCACACUGGAACUGAGACACGGUCCAGACUCCUACGGGAGGCAGCAGUGGGGAAUAUUGGACAAUGGGCGCAAGCCUGAUCCAGCCAUACCGCGUGGGUGAAGAAGGCCUUCGGGUUGUAAAGCCCUUUUGUUGGGAAAGAAAAGCAGCAGGUUAAUACCCCGCUGGUCCGACGGUACCCAAAGAAUAAGCACCGGCUAACUUCGUG
This 492-nucleotide ribosomal RNA is filed under the name uncultured bacterium. RNAcentral describes it as "partial 16S ribosomal RNA". It matches the Rfam family "Bacterial small subunit ribosomal RNA", at positions 29 to 507 of the family's 1533-position model. The record is from RNAcentral.